AAUAGUAAAUGUCUCUGACACAUGUAAAAGACAAAUUAUCCCCCCAAAAAAGCAUUUAUUUUUCUCACAGAUGGGUUGCAGUAAAAGAACUGCAAAACAGCACAAGACAGAGUGGAGGAAGAAGGAAGCUCCAUUAUGGAUGUGAAGAAAAGGAAUAA
RNAcentral lists this long non-coding RNA (158 nucleotides) under Zonotrichia albicollis (white-throated sparrow). Its description in RNAcentral is "lncRNA (ENSZALG00000013586.1)". Lineage: Eukaryota; Metazoa; Chordata; Aves; Passeriformes; Passerellidae. The record is from RNAcentral.